UUUUGCUUUCCUUAUUGAUAAUACUAUCCUAACAGGUGUGGGGCGAUGGAUCCUUGCUUUUGACUACAUUUGGCUUUGAUUACAUUGGCCAUGACUGGUGAUGAGGUGCACUUUUGCCUGGUGGGCAUUUGUAUGUCACCUUUGGAGAAAUGCAUGUUCAAGCCCCGACCUUUUUGUCUCUUGAGUCAUCUCAGGAACUGCCAAAAAAGAGAAAGUUGAGAUGGAUUCAGUGUCCUCUUCCUGGUACCGUUUGCUCUUUGAGAACUGGAGUCAUGGAAUGUGAGGGAGCCAAAUCACAGCCUGUACAGCGAGCUGAACCGUCUGCGUCCCAGAAAUGCGCUUGAACAAUCACAGCAACUGUCAUAAAGGAGACAGUAGUUUAGGUGAGUAAGCAUUUCUAUGUCUGUGGUCUUCUACUCCAAAAAUGUGAUUUUAAAGUUCAAGAUUUGGGAGAAAUUCAAACAGAUUGGGCCAGCAGGGGGAGCUAGUAAACUGAGUUUGAGAAAGCAUAAAGCUA
This 517-nucleotide long non-coding RNA is filed under the name Chinchilla lanigera (long-tailed chinchilla). RNAcentral describes it as "lncRNA (ENSCLAG00000024599.1)". The record is from RNAcentral. Lineage: Eukaryota; Metazoa; Chordata; Mammalia; Rodentia; Chinchillidae.